AAGGGCGGAUCACAAUGGUAGAACGAGAGCUUCCCAAGCUCUAUACGAGGGUUCGAUUCCCUUCGCCCGCUCCA
RNAcentral lists this transfer RNA (74 nucleotides) under Klebsiella aerogenes. Its description in RNAcentral is "tRNA-Gly". It matches the Rfam family "tRNA". From Rfam's summary of the family: Transfer RNA (tRNA) molecules are approximately 80 nucleotides in length. Their secondary structure includes four short double-helical elements and three loops (D, anti-codon, and T loops). Further hydrogen bonds mediate the characteristic L-shaped molecular structure. tRNAs have two regions of fundamental functional importance: the anti-codon, which is responsible for specific mRNA codon recognition, and the 3' end, to which the tRNAs corresponding amino acid is attached (by aminoacyl-tRNA synthetases). tRNAs cope with the degeneracy of the genetic code in two manners: having more than one tRNA (with a specific anti-codon) for a particular amino acid; and 'wobble' base-pairing, i.e. permitting non-standard base-pairing at the 3rd anti-codon position. The record is from RNAcentral. Lineage: Bacteria; Pseudomonadati; Pseudomonadota; Gammaproteobacteria; Enterobacterales; Enterobacteriaceae.